Molecule: non-coding RNA, 64 nt
Filed under: Burkholderia sp.
Lineage: Bacteria; Pseudomonadati; Pseudomonadota; Betaproteobacteria; Burkholderiales; Burkholderiaceae
Description: Fluoride sequence
Rfam family: Fluoride riboswitch aptamer (crcB RNA motif)
Source: RNAcentral
UUGGCGUCAGGAGAUGGCAUUCUCCUUAACCGCCGAGACACCGGAUGAUGAUGCCUACUGCGUU